GAUGAACGCUGGCGGCGUGCCUAAUACAUGCAAGUCGAGCGAACAGAUGAGGAGCUUGCUCCUCUGACGUUAGCGGCGGACGGGUGAGUAACACGUGGAUAACCUACCUAUAAGACUGGGAUAACUUCGGGAAACCGGAGCUAAUACCGGAUAAUAUAUUGAACCGCAUGGUUCAAUAGUGAAAGACGGUUUUGCUGUCACUUAUAGAUGGAUCCGCGCCGCAUUAGCUAGUUGGUAAGGUAACGGCUUACCAAGGCAACGAUGCGUAGCCGACCUGAGAGGGUGAUCGGCCACACUGGAACUGAGACACGGUCCAGACGCCUACGGGAGGCAGCAGUAGGGAAUCUUCCGCAAUGGGCGAAAGCCUGACGGAGCAACGCCGCGUGAGUGAUGAAGGUCUUCGGAUCGUAAAACUCUGUUAUUGGGGAAGAACAAAUGUGUAAGUAACUAUGCACGUCUUGACGGUACCUAAUCAGAAAGCCACGGCUAACUACGUG
This 497-nucleotide ribosomal RNA is filed under the name uncultured bacterium. RNAcentral describes it as "partial 16S ribosomal RNA". It matches the Rfam family "Bacterial small subunit ribosomal RNA", at positions 28 to 507 of the family's 1533-position model. The record is from RNAcentral.